This is a non-coding RNA of Daucus carota subsp. sativus, 169 nucleotides long. The record is from Rfam. NCBI's taxonomy places the organism in Eukaryota, Viridiplantae, Streptophyta, Magnoliopsida, Apiales, Apiaceae.
GAGAGCCGGAUGAGGGGAGACCUUCACGUCCGGUUCGGAGGGCGGGGAUAUCCCGACCAUACUAUCAUUAUGCCUUUGCAAUGUUACUUGGUUCAACUCUAUUUGUGACCUUUUCUCAUAUGUGGGACUCUCUAUCUUUUUGGGUAGAUAAUCGAUCGUCUAUCCAAAU